UCCUGGUUAGCUCAGUUGGUAGAGCGCUCUACUCGAAAUGGAGUGGGCCCUGGUUGGAUACAAAGACUAGGCG
Molecule: transfer RNA, 73 nt
Filed under: Ixodes scapularis (black-legged tick)
Lineage: Eukaryota; Metazoa; Arthropoda; Arachnida; Ixodida; Ixodidae
Description: tRNA-Ser for anticodon CGA
Rfam family: tRNA
About the family: Transfer RNA (tRNA) molecules are approximately 80 nucleotides in length.
Source: RNAcentral